GAGAGCGAUUUAACAUGCACAGUUGAUAACAAAAAAAUGCGAAAGUCGUGUGCAUUCUCUAUUGGUAUCAAAUGUGCUAUAGAAAAUUUGUGUAUCAGAAAUUUGGUAUCAGAUGUGCACGUGCAUAACUGAUACCAAACUACGGUGAAACACUUAUGAAGUGCCGAUGUGGUCGAUUUAAUGUCUUCGUCCAGACUUAUAUAUAUAUAUAUUGCUAUUUCGACUUUUGAUUACUUAACCUUUUUAUAGCAUUAUUCAAAUAAGUCAAGUUCAAGAUUUCCCUAAUUUCAAACUAAAAUAUUUUAGACCCACAAUUAUUUACUUCUAUCGAGAAUUAAAAAAAUUACUGAAUGAAAAUUAUUUGCGUAAUUAUAAUUUAGGCUAAACGUAUGUAUCUAGACAAACGUUGAAUUUUGAAUUCCACUUUGAAUUUUGCGACGAUCUAUCCGGUAAUAUCUCAGCUAAGUAGGUGUCUAACGAUAUAUUUAUAGAAUGUUUUACGAUGAAUAUAUUUUGUCUUUUAUUAUAUUUUCAUGCGUGUGUAGUAUUGACUGAUGAUGCCGUUUCAAUUCUCAGACGGGGGUAAUUGAAGGCAAGGACAGCUAGAAUCUAGUAUCGACUGCAGCGCGCUGCCGCUGGUUGUCCAGGCCUGUCAUGCCUGUCCGGGAGAGCUCCGCGGAGACAGAUAACGUUUGUGCCCGUCGCGAUCAUGCUGGUUCAUGGUUGAAUGGGAGGGGGCCGGGGGUGACUCUUGUCUUUUAUAAAAAAGUCAAGACUCUUGACUUUUAUUAAAAAAAUCAAAAUCAUGCAUUGAAUAAAACAAUUACGGAUAUUUUAGCUUUGAUUAUUGAUCUAGGCCUAGUAGUCAUAGUCACUAUCAAUGAAUUACGAGUACUACGGUAUACUUUCAGUCUUUUUUUCAGACUCUUUGUUUGUCAAAAUAGUAAAGCCUACAAAAGUUAAGGACAAUUCCACCCGAACUUGAUUUGAAAUCAAAAUGUUCAGUGUAGAUCUAGUCAUGUCAAGAGUAAAGUAUGACUAUGACUAUGACAGUAUGAGCUAGUCAACCACUUCGAUUAGGGGUUGUUUUACGAUCAGGCCUCAGGGUACACCAAGAAAGAUGCCUCAUAGUCAUCAUAGUACAUAGCUCAUUUAUUUUUAAUGUGUGUGUGUUGUAUGAUGGCGGUGGACCUAAAGCUACACACUUUGUUUACAAACGAUAAUAACUAUGCCAAUUUUAAUCUAGCAAAUAAUCUUUCACAAAUUUGUGUUAAAUAUUGUAAAGAAUCAUAACCAUGAAAAAAUAUCACAAAGCUCACUAAUAAGAAAAUCUCGCCGUGUUUUCCGAACACCUCUUGAUUUCGCUGCCCGAUAUAGAAGGGGUCCUAAACUUAAAACUAUACGCACUCAAUUUAUCAUGCAAAGAAAAAGUAUUUCCUGUGCCUAAACUUCUAAAUAAUGUUCAUAAUCUUAAAGGAAAAUAUGAAAUCAAAGUGAAUAUAUAUAACUCCAAAAUUCCAAACAGUGGCUCGCUUUCUCUGUAUUUAGCCAUUUAUUGCAGCCUCUGUAGAAAAAAAUGAAUAGGAAAUCGUUUGUCACACUGCAGUCACAGCUCCACACAGUGCGCAUUUUGCACUUGAAACUUCAUGCGCAUAGGAGUGGUGCGUAGCUUUAGGACCCCCUAUACUUGUAUUUCAACAAGUAACAUGAUAUUCAAAUGUAGUAUGGCUUGUAGUAUUAGACUAGACCAAAAACUCAGUCCAUUUCACACAGGAUAUGCUCCACUGAGACUUCGUCUGGCUCAGCGGUAUCCUUCGAUUACCCAUAUGCACCGCCGUGGCGGAUGGAGUUCUCGAGCUCUCGUACAUGUAGGCGGCAAUGAUAACACGAGCGCUCGCGCAUUCGGAUGUUUUAGCUGCAUUAAAAACAUCGCGAUGGAAGAUCUGCAAACCUGGGGUCCAGUGCAGAAAGAGUUGCGAUCAAACACAGAGCUCUCCAAAUCUUAGGCAAAUCGAUUUUCAACCAAUCAAACACGCAUUUGCAUUCGGGAAUUGAGCUCAAUUUUUUUUACUUGUGUUUAAAUGCAGUUCUUUUUGAAACGGGCCCCUGACCUUGUAUAUUUGACAUCAAAAUUUUUAUUAUAAUAUAUUUUUCUUGAUGCUGGUAAAGCUGAUUAUAGGCGCCGCUUUUCCGACGGCGAUGGCGGCAGUGUCAACAUUGAAAUCUUAACCAAGGUUAAAUUUUUUAAAUGUCAUCAUAACUUAGAGAGUAUAUGAAUCUAAUUCAUGAAACUUGACACAAAGGUAACCAAGUAUCACUGAUCAUCCUGCAUUAGUUUUAGAUCACAUGAUCAAGGUCAGAGAUCGUGUAUGGUCAAUGAACUGUGGCCAUGUUUGGGGUGUCAGCAUUGAAAUCUUAACCAAGGUUAAAUUUUUGUAAUGUCAUCAUAACUUCAGAAGUAUAUGGACCUAGGACAUAAGGACAACCAAGUAUUACUGAACAUCUUUGGUUUGAGGUCACAUAACCAAUGUCACUUAGGGUCAAUGACCUGGACCAUGUUGGUCGAAUCAAUAUCGAUAUAUCUUAACCUAUAUGGUUAAAAUUUUGAAAUGUCAUAACUAAUAAAGUGUAUGAACCUACUUCAUGAGACUUUCAUAUAAGGGUCAUGAAGUGGUACUGGACAUCCUGCCCGAGUUUUAGGUCACAUGACCAAGGUUGAACUUUGGUCAUGUUGGUGGUAUUUCCCUUGUAACUCUGAAUUCUUAUGGAGUUCAUAAAACUUAGGAGUAAUCAAGUACCACUGACUAUCCUGUGCGAGUUUCAGGUCUCAUAACCAAGGUCAAAGGUCAUGUACGGUCAAUGUACUUUAGACGUGUUGGGGAUAUUUGUUAAAUUGGCAUAACUUCAAAAAUUCAUGGAUCUAGUUGAACAUCAAACAUAGACAAUGGCCAGAAGGAAGCAUAUGUUAGUCUGGCCACAAGUAGAUAUGUGUUAGCAUCACAAAAUAAGGGAAAUGACGAAAGGAUCAGAUGCUAUACGGAUAAGCAACCAAAAUCUUUAAAAAAAACAAGUCUCAUGUAGGCUUAUAUCAUGUAUAAUUAUGUGUACGGUAUAUGUAUUAAUAUUGUACGGUAGGCCUAUGAUAUAUUUUUCAUUAAAAAUGCGCAUCCUAUAAUUACACGUUGUUCCUUUAGCAUAACAUAAAAUGAGUUAUCUUACAUAUUCUUUGAAAAUGUCUUUGUUUUGUGUGACAUUAAGACAAAUAUCAUUCAUUAUAUUGAUAAACGCAUUUAAUUUGAAGAAAUUAUGUUGCGAAAAAAAACUUAAACUACAGGUAGUUUUCACAAAUUUUUAUUUUGGGUAAAUCUCGGUUUUAUGAUUCAUUUCGCCAUACACUGUGUGUAAUAUACAACUUUCAGAUGUAAACUGUAAAUGAAAGUGAUCUUAAAUGAAAGGUAUUUACCUUGUGUUACACAUUCUGUCAAAAAAUUAAGAAGCAUGAUUUUUAAAAUUUCUCUCAAAUUUUAAGUCAAAAAUGACACUUUCAUGAAAAAAAUGUUUGUGGCAUCCGGCCGAGCAUUAUUCCUCUGUAUUUUGGCAAGACUUUAAGCUUGGGUGCCAAGCAUUAACAAAUUUUGCCGUCCAAAGUGUAAGUAAAUUAAAUUGAUCCAUUAAUUUUUGGGGCCAUUCUGAAAAAGUGAAGACCAGAACACGUUUUCAAAAUAAUUGUGCCCUAACCCAACUAAAGUUCCUACCUGUCUUUUUGGAAAUUUUGGUUUGGUUAAAUUUGGUUAAAUUUUUGAAAUGUCAUCAUAACUUAGAGAGUAUAUGAAUCUAAUUCAUGAAACUUGACACAAGGGUAACCAAGUAUCACUGAUCAUCCUGCAUUAGUUUUAGAUCACAUGAUCAAGGUCAGAGAUCAUUUAUGGUCAAUGAACUUUGGCCAUGUUUGGGGUGUCAGCAUUGAAAUCUUAACCAAGGUUAAAUUUUUGAAAUGUCAUAACUUAGAAAGUAUAUGGACCUAGGACAUAAGGACAACCAAGUAUUACUGAACAUCUUUGGUUUGAGGUCACAUGAACAAGGUCGAAGGUCACUUGGGGUCAAUGACCUGGACCAUGUUGGUCGAAUCAAUAUCGAUAUAUCUUAACCUACAUUGUAUGGUUAAGUUUUUGAAAUGUCAUAACUUAGAAAGUGUAUGAACCUAGUUCAUGAGACUUACAUAUAAGGGUCAUGAAGUGGUACUGGAAAUCCUGCCCGAGUUUUAGGUCACAUGACCAAGGACAAAGGUCAUUUAGGGUCCAUGAACUUUGGGCAUGCUAGGAGUAAUUGUUCAAUUUCCAUUGUAUCUUAGAAUUUUUUUGAACUAGUUCAUAAAACUUGGACAUAAGAGUAAUCAAGUACCACUGAAUAUCCUGUGCGAGUUUCAGGUCUCAUAACCAAGGUCAAAGGUCAUGUAGGGUCAAUGUACUUUAGACGUGUUGGGGAUAUUUGUUAAUUUGGCAUAACUUCAAAAAUUCAUGGAUCUAGUUGCACAUCAAACAUAGACAUGUGAUGGUAAUCAAGUAUCAAUUAUUGUUUUUGACACAUCUUGCGUCACAUAAUAACUGCCAGAGGUAAUUUUUGGUCAGUGGACAUAUUAUUUUACUAUCAUAUGAAGAUUUCCCUUUUUUCAAUAAUUAUUAAAUACCUGUUUUCGAAAUCAGCACUGAUGCUUUUUCUAAUUGCGUAAUGCAGACGAGACUGCCAGAGGUGUUCAACUUGUUUUAAUGCUCAUCAUAUUAACUGAGGAAGUAUAUGGACUAAGUUCAUGGAACUUGGACAUAAGGAUAACCAAGUGUCAUUGAUCAUCCUGCAUGAGGGUCAAAGGUCAUUUAGAGUCAAUGAACUUAGAAUAUACUAAUUUUUUUGUCUCGUCUGCAAAGCAGAGCGAGACUAUAGGCGCCGCUUUUCCGACGGCGGCGGCAGCGUCAACAAUUCAAUUCAUUCAAUUCAAUUCAUUUAUUCUUCUCCAUUAAAAAACAACAAAAUACGUACAUUUGAAAUACACAUGUAUAUACAAAAAUAGAUCAAAUACAUAAGCAUAGUAAAUUAAUAUUGUAAGUGAUAGAAAUAAAUGGAAAAUGGAACACCUGUAGAAAGCUUUUUUUAAAAAGCUUGUAAAUGGCAGGAGUCCAAAAGUUAACAAAAUACAAAUAUAAUAAUGAUAUUAAUAAUAUUAGAUGGUGCAUGUAUUUGAAUUCAGUGUCUUGCCCCCUAUCCCCACCUGGCCCCCUGUCCCACCCCCCUACCCCCAUCUCUCUCUCAGGUAGAAUUCAAAAUUAAUAUAGGCUAAAAUCUAAAUUGAAAUAAAAUUAAUAUGACAACAAAUAAACUUUAAGAUUUUUUUUGAAAGUAUUCAAAAAGACAUUCUCCGUAAUCGAAGUUGGUAAUGAGUUCUAUACUGUGGGCCCUGUGUAUCUAACUGUUUUUUUGCAUAUACUGCUUAUCAAUAUUCCAGAUAUGUAAUUUUUUACUAUUUCGAGUGUUAUAUUUGUGAAUCAUAGAAUUAGUUUCAAACAUAUUGGCAAGAGGAGGCAAAAUGGUUCCUUUGAUACACUUGAAUACAAAAAAGUGUUCAAUUUAUAAAUAUCUAAUGUGUUUAACUGUUUGAAUAGAGGUUUAAAAUGAGCUAAAUAAUGCGAGUUUGUACAAAUACGCAAGCAACGCUUUUGCAGUAAAAACAAUGGUUUCAACUUUGAAGGGGUUGAAUUUGCCCAAACGAUAUUACCAUAGGACAAAUAAGAUAAAAUUAGUGAAUUAUAAAUAGUAAACAAUAUAUUCAAUGGUAAAUAGUGUUUAAGUUUUGAAAGUAAUCCUGUAGUUUUGCUGAUUUUUUAAGAGAUCAUUGUAAUAUGAGGCUUCCAUGAGAGAUUCUCAUCUAAUAGUAUACCUAGGAAUUGUAUGUUAGAUACUCUUUCAAUAAGAGUUUCAUCUAUAUAUAAUGGGGGUACUUCAUAUAUUACUUGCUUUCUAUUGCUAGUUUGUUUUGAAAAGAAUACAUUUUUUGGGGGUUAAAUUUAGUGAUAAUUUGUUAACUUUAAGCCUCAAUGAUACCUAUUUUCAUUAAACUGAUUAACUAAUAAAUGUAUAUUGUUAUUACUCAUAAACAAUGAAGUGUCAUCAGCAAACUGUAUAAACUUAAAGAAGAUGCAGAGUUACAAAUAUCAUUUAUGUAUAAGAGAAAUAAAAGGGGGCCCAAAUUUGAUCCUUGCGGAAUUCCGCAUUCCAUCAGCAAUUGUGAAGAAGUACACCCAUUAUAUUCUGUAAACUAAUAUCUAUUAGAAAAGUAACUCUUGAUCCAUUUCAAUGCUAUCCCUCUUACACCAUAAUUAGUCAUUUUCUCAAAAAGUAUAGAAAAAUUUAUAGUAUCAAAGGCCUUACUUGGUCCAUAAAAACACCAAAAAUAAACUGGUUUGAAUAAAAAGCAUUAACAAUUCUAUCAUGAACAGAUAUCAUAGCCGAAUCUGUAGAAAUAUUUCUUCUAAAUCCAAACUGAUCAUUAUGUAAUACAUUAUGUUUUGCUAAAAAACCAUAUAACCUAUUGUAAAAUAUUUUCUCAACAAUCUUUGAAAAGCAAGAAAGGAGUGAUAUAGGGCGAUAAUUACCAAUUAUUUCUUUAUCCCCCUUUUUAAAUAUUGGAAUAUUUUUAUAUAUUUUUUAUUUAUACCCCAAAUUAUAUGCAUUAAUAGACUCUCACAUGAGAAACAGAAUUACAAAAUAUUGGCUGAAAAGUAUGGAUCGUUUUCUUGUAGGGCACCCUCAAAGUUGGAUUUUUGUCUCGCCUGCGUAGCGGAGCAAGACAUAGGUAUCACUAUUUCCGGCGUCGUCGUCAACAAUUUUGUUGUACACCCAUUAACUUUCUAUAGCUUCAAGGUGGGAUCACCAUAUUCAUACCAGAGGUCCAUCUCCUGAAGGCACAGGUCAAGUUCGAAUAUGAGUCGAAUUUGAAUAAGGUCAAAGCUCAAAGGUCAAUGAACUUUCCAUGACUGGCACUGUGCUGUGUUGUACACACAAUAACUUUCUAUAGCUUCGAGGUGGGAUCGCCAAAUUCAUACAAGAGGUCCAUCUCUGGAAGGUGCAGGUCAAGUUCGAAUGUGAGUUGAAUUUGAUUAAGGUCAAAGGUCAAUGAACUUUCCAUGACUGGCACUGUGCUGUGUUGUACACACAAUAACUUUCUAUAGCUUCGAGGUGGGAUCGCCAAAUUCAUACAAGAGGUCCAUCUCUGGAAGGUGCAGGUCAAGUUCGAAUGUGAGUUGAAUUUGAUUAAGGUCAAAGGUCAAUGAACUUUCCAUGACUGGCACUGUGCUGUGUUGUACACCCAAUAACUUUCUAUAGCUUCGAGGUGGGAUCGCCAAAUUCAUACAAGAGGUCCAUCUCUUGAAGGUGCAGGUCAAGUUCGAAUGUGAGUUGAAUUUGAUUAAGGUCAAAGGUCAAUGAACUUUCCAUGACUGGCACUGUGCUGUGUUGUACACCCAAUAACUUUCUAUAGCUUCAAGGUGGGAUCACCAAAUUCAUACCAGAGGUCCAUCACCUGAAGGCACAGGUUAAGUUCGAAUAUGAGUCGAAUUUGAAUAAGGUCAAAGGUCAAUGAACUUUCCAUGACUGGCACUGUGCUAUGUUGUACACAUAAUAACUUUCUAUAUCUUCGAGGUGGGAUCACCAAAUUCAUACCAGAGGUCCAUCUCCUGAAGGCACAGGUCAAGUUCGAAUAUGAGUCGAAUUUGAAUAAGGUCAAAGGUAAAUGAACUUUCCCUGACUGGCACUGUGCUGUGUUGUACACACAAUAACUUUCUAUAGCUUGUAGUACUUCACUCUUGCAUCAUUUACUUAUCAUAUGCACACAGAUCAAUUUAGAAAACCCUACUGCUAAAGUGAAGGCAAGAUGGCUAAAAAUCACACACAAUAAGUUUUUAUAUUUAUCUUUCAUGCACAACCUUUCCUCCAUUUUUUCAAACAAUAAGUUUGCCAUAACACCAUAAUAAUUAAUUUAAUUUUACAAUUUUACUCACAUUAUUAUCAAUUACAUUCUUUUUCAUAAACAUUCAUUUCCUUACUUGCAUGGAAAUAAUUAUAGCUUCAUAGUAUUAACAGCAUUCUUAGUGUUAUCUGAUUUUCUAGGGAUAAAGUAGGCCUAUACCAUUAAUGCAUAUGUAAACUGUCAGAACCACAAUUCACCCCCUAAACUGCUGAUAGCCUCAGAAGUCAUAUAGCAUAGUUUUGACAUGCAGUCUCUUCAUGACUGCAAUAUGCAGGUGAGACAACGCUUGGCGUUUGCCUUGUUUAAAGAAGAUGCCAAGCUCAAGGUCAAGGAUCACCCCUUGUCCCAUUGAGGAGCGACACCAGUUUUUAUGCUCUAGACAUUUACCCAUAUUUCCAAGGGUUACAUAAGAAAUUUUGCUACCGUAAGGUUAAAUGGCUAAUUUGUGCAUUCCAAAAUGGUCGUAAACACCCCUAAAUUGAUGUAAAAUGACACAUAAUGCUUUUCAACACACUUCAAGUUGUGAUAACUCAAAAAUGAAAAGCCAAGACACAAUGAUAUCUUCUGAGAUGUUAUGAUAGACAGUGAUUAGUGCCACAAGGAUAUAACAUUACAAGUAGUUUGUGAUGUUGGUAAUGACCUUGAAAAUACAGCUGAAAUUCACGGACAAUAAAUUUUCCAAGAAAGAACGUACGGUGUUAAAGUGUGUUUACAUUGACUUUCAAUUGUGUGUCAUUUCAAAACUAAAUGUAACUUUAAGCUGAUUAUUUGAAAUCAUGUUCCAUUUGUGAUCUAUUUUAAGCUACCUAUGAUAUCUGAAGUCAUAACCAUAUCAUUUGACAUUGAAAUUAUUUUUUAAAAUGGCUUUAAUAAAAGCCUCAUAUGUAGCAUAUUCACAAGACAUGAAAUUUGCAACACGUUUCAAAAUUGAUUUUCUGACAUACAUGUACAGAAUGCCUGAUCAUGUUGAUAUUUGCAGUACAUACAUGUAAGAAGUCUACAGUGAGCACUUGAGGAUCUGUGAUUAAAUCAUUACUUUAUUAUCAGCCUUUUACCAAUAUUCAACCACUGAAAUAAUAUAAUUUAUCUCAAUUUACUUUAUCUUUGCUCCUAAUUAAAAAAUAACCCCAAUUAGAAUUACAUAGAAAUCCUACAUGUAUGUAUAAAGUACAUGUAUGGUGUAUCCCGUACAUCGCACAUUUGUCCCGUAUGUCACAAAGCUUAAUUAGCUGAAAUAAUUAAACAUGUAAUUGAUUCAGUAAAUUCACUUUAAUUUUUGGAUGUAUAGUACUAUAAAUUAGAACUCUCCAAACUUCCAAAGUGUGAAGAAAACUGUUCAACUUUUCCUUGAUUAAAAUCUAAAAAACCUAUGCUAAAUUGUCACGUAUGGGACACUGCCUGUUGGACACCAGAUAAUUAACCUAAUUAAUUAAUUUUAAAAAUAAUUUUCUCUCAAAUGUUUGCAUUAACUUAGCACUACAAGUCCCCACAGAAAUAUUUUCAAAUAUAUAAUUUUCAUUAUCUGCAGAUCAAAAAAUGUGAUGUCCCGUACGUCACGCUAAAUAAUGAUUUCUUGGAAUCGUGACCUUACAUGUAGCAUUCAUUAACUUUACGUUUCAGAAGAAAAAAAUAUAGGGCAAAAAACUUCAGAGUACAAGCUUUAAAAUUACAUUUUGAAUUGUUGAAAAUGAGAUUUAGUAUUAUUAGGAAUGUGUUAUAGACUAUCACCAUGGCAAAAUAUUAAUUUUUGAGGUAUAGUGUUUAUGAUGUCAUUUGAGAAUAUUUCUGUUGAUAUUUUCUGGGAGAAUAUCGCCGGGACCUAUACUUAAAUGAAAGUCCAAUUGUUUCUGAUACAAGAGUUGCCAGUUGAGCAAUUUUAAGCCACUUUUAGCCAUUUAUAAUACUGCAUUAAAAAUAUUUGUUAUCGUUUUCAAAUUUGCUACCAUGGCAAUGGCCAGAAGGAAGCGUAUGUUAGUCUGGCCACAAGUAGAUAUGUGUUAGCAUCACAAAAUAAGGGAAAUGACGAAUGGAUCAGAUGCUAUACGGAUAAGCAACCGAAAUCUUUAAAAAAAUAAGUCUCAUGUAGGCUUAUAUCAUGUAUAAUUAUGUGUACGGUAUAUGUAUUAAUAUUGUACGGUAUGAUACAAUUUUCAUUAAAAAUGCGCAUCCUAUAAUUACACAUUGUUCCAUUUAGCAUAACAUAAAAUGAGUUAUCUUACAUAUAUUCUUUGAAAAUGUCUUUGUUUUGUGUGACAUUAAGACAAAUAUCAUUCAUUAUAUUGAUAAACGCAUUUAAUUUGAAGAAUUUAUGUUGCGCAAAAAAACUUAAACUACAGGUAGUUUUCACAAAUUUUUAUUUUGGGUAAAUCUCGGUUUUAUGAUUCAUUUCGCCAUACACUGUGUGUAAUAUACAACUUUCAGAUGUAAACUGUAAAUAAAAGUGAUCUUAAAUGAAAGGUAUUUACCUCGUGUUACACAUUCUGUCAAAAAAUUAAAAAGCAUGAUUUUUAAAAUUUCUUUCAAAUUUUACGCCAAAAAUGACACUUUCACGCGAAAAAUGCGCAUGGCAUCCUCUGUAUUUUGGCAAGACUUUAAGCUUGGGUGCCAAGCAUUAACAAAUUUUGCCGUCCAAAGUGUAAGAAAUCGUCUUAGCCGGUCUACUAACAUAAGAAAUACAGUGUAAGAAGUUGGUGAUGUCAUUAGUAUUCUCAUCUGCAGACCGUAGUGGGUGUUUCAUAAAGUUGUUUCAGGGAAUAAUUUUCCUGGUAAUGUGGUGCUGUUACACAUAAUUGUUACAAUAAUUCCUAUUUAUAGCACAUGUUUUUAUAUGGGUCAUUUCACCAGGUUGGGACACAGUAGUUGUAACUAGUUGUAACAUUUUCAAUCAUUUAUUUAAUAGAUUUAUGUCAUCCUACAUGUAUGUGGCAGCAUAAUAUGUAUUUAGUUAUUGUAAAUACUAGAAAGUAUAGAGAAAAAAUAUAACCUGACAUUAAAUUUCGUGUUUGUCCGUGCAUUUUUGUGAGAGUUCAUUAAAUGUCAGGCCAAAACUUGUCAGAAUAGUUCAUAUGUUCAUGAGUAUCACAUAUGACCAAGAAAUAAAAUUGUUUUAUAUAUUUAAUGAUACAUACCAUGUCUCACUAAUGUGUCCCAACCUGGUGAGAUGACCCAUAUAUUCUACAGAAUCUGCUUGGCAGCAUUCUUCUUUAAAUGACCCAAAAUGCCAAUGAAAUUUGUGAAACAAAAUAAUUCAAAAUAAAAUAAACAAAAUAAUAAUCAGAGAGCGAAGUUGGCUCAGUCGGUAAAGCGUCUGCCCAAAGAACCAAAGAUCGUGGGUUCAAGUCCACCCCGGGCGGAUGACUGAAGCCAGAGCGUUGUGUGUAAACGUCUCUCCCAUGUUUCAUAGAUGCAGGCUAUGUUACAGUGGAAGACACUCUGUCCAUCGGAUAGGACAUUAAAUGGAGGCCCUGUGUAGAGGAGAAUCACCACCUUUUCACGUUAAGAACCCACUGCACUAUUCGAAUAAGAGUAGGGAGAAACCCUGGCAUAGUGGUCCACCUGCAUUCCACCAACCAGUUAUCGGGAGGAGAGACCUGUGGGUCAUAGUUCUGUGUGCGCGCCCUUGUAGGCGACCCAGAUUGGAUGGCUCCUCCAAUGCGCCUUUGAAUGUCUUUGACAGAUAUAUGGCACUAUACAAAUACUGUGCAUCAUCAUCGUAAUUCCUAUUAUUUGUUAUUUAUGAGGGAUUUUACACAUGACUGUUGAUACAUGGACCUUCUUAGGGAAUUAUUUUCUUAGUAUUGCAUCUCAAUUUACUACAUUUUCAUAAAUACUACAGUAGCCUACAUGUGUUGCAAGUGUUUACAAAGGAUUGUACUUUAUUUAGUAAUGUAAUCUUUUACUUGAUAAUCAACUCUGUUUAAUCAAAUUAGAAAAGGUCAAUUAUUUUGUUAUUUAUUUCUCCUUCUGAGCAGUGUACACGUACAACUUGUUUAAAAACAUGAUAUCAGCACCUAAGAAGGUAUAUAAACAGUCAUUUGUAGAUUAACUUAUAAACAUCUUUGUGAAUCACCCACCAUUUAUUGAUUUCAAUUAAACAUUACUUUACAGUAUCUCUUUGAUUUUUUUCAGAUGGAGAAUCUCAACCAAGAAGAAAACCAAGAUGAAUCAAGUCAUCAUAAGAAUGAUAAUCCAAAACAGGAAAAACAAAAAAAGAAGUACAGGAUUGUAGUUUAUGAAAUAAGGAACAUGAAUGCUAAAUUUGGCCUCAUCGCAAUGACAGUAUUACAGAGAUAGAGAUUGCCUUGAUGAGCCAUCUGAGCUUGAUUCCAACUGUCAUAGAAAAUAUGAUAAAGAGGAGGAUAGAAGGGAGAAAUGCUAUUAAUGUAUAUGGGUCAAUCCACAUCAAAUCAACCAAUUUUUAGACAAUUUGUCACCAGACCCCUUCGAUUUUCUUUAAACUCGCACCAAAUGUUCCCCCAAGUGUCUGACCUAAAAAUCUGAAAUAUUUUGCCCCAAGGUCAAAUGGUUGCUAAGAUAUGGCCUACCUUAGCAACAAAUGCAUGGCCAAACAAUCGAGUUAAAUAAAAUUAACUAAUUUUGAUUGACUGCUGCAGCCAAGUUUGAUGAGGUACAUAUAGAGUACUUAUUUUCUGUAAAUUGGAAGAACUUUUAUAGUCUUAACACACACAAUAUAUUAUGACAUGGAUCUGACCAGCCGUUAUUGCACACAAGGUUGCCAUAAAUGGUGUAAAGCAUCGAAGUCAAUGAUUUUGGGUUCAUGUUUGGAGGCUCAUAACUUCCAAAUUCAAUUAGUUUUAAUAGAACCCAAUAUUAUGCAUAUAUGAAGACUAUGACUUGCUUUAUAGACCUACAAAAAAUUGGCCCAAACAUGCUCGUCAAUCCAUUGUUUUAACAUUUUUAGGCAGUAAUUUGUGAAGAAUACAUGUAGCCCCCCCCUCCCACAUAUAUAUAUAUAUAUAUAACUGCCUGCAUAUAAUGUAUUAUAUAGAGAGGAGUAUUACAUAUGUCUUCUUUGUAAUUUUAUUUUAUAUUAUUAUUUUGCUUGUGAGUAGGCCUCAUGUAAGAGUUUGAUUUAUCUCUGUAUCUAAUUAUUGUAUGUACAUAUGGUGAUUAAUUAUUUUCAUUUUCCUAUUAUUUUGAUUGUAUUAUUUUCAUAUAUAAUUUCUUAUUCUUGUGGUAUUCCUUUGUUCUUUUCAUGUUUGGAGGCUCAUAACUUCCAAAUUCAAUUAGUUUUGAUAGAACCCAAUAUUAUGCAUAUAUGAAGACUAUGACUUGCUUAAUAGACCUACAAAAAAUUGGCCCAAACAUGCUUGUCAAUCCAUUGUUUUAACAUUUUUAGGCAGUAAUUUGUGAAGAAUACAUGUAGCCCCCCCCCUCCCACAUAUAUAUAUAUAUAAAACUGCCUGCAUAUAAUGUAUUAUAUAGAGAGGAGUAUUACAUAUGUCUUCUUUGUAAUUUUAUUUUAUAUUAUUAUUUUGCUUGUGAGUAGGCCUCAUGUAAGACUUUGAUUUAUUUCUGUAUCUAAUUAUUGUAUGUACAUAUGGUGAUAAAUUAUUUUCAUUUUCCUAUUAUUUUGAUUGUAUUAUUUUCAUAUCAUAUAAUUUAUUAUGCUUGUGCUAUUCCUUUGUUUAUUUAAUUGUGUGGUAUGUCAUGAGCUUACACUAUAAAGAUCUGUAAAGCAGAAUACUAGCAGGCUCAUAUGUGUUUGUUUUGCCCUUGCUAUCCCUUUCCAAAUAUCAUUGAGUUUGAGAGAUAAUUACAAAUUCAAACAUUUCACUCCCAAGAUUUGAGCAGUGCGCCCUACCACAUUUUUUUAAUGCCAUUUUGGAAUCCUUGGGGAAUUUCAUUCUGGAAAUAGUAUACUUUUGGUAUGGAUAGAUUAAAUAAUUUUACAAUUAAGACCAUUUUUAUAUCAUUAGAUACAAACACAAAUGAAGCUAAUUAAAAAAUGCAUAGGCGCAUAUGAGAUUUGAAAAAGUCUGGAUCGUUGUGGGAGCAAAAAAAGGUCUACAAAAAUGAAUGUAAAUGCUGAAUUUUAUCAUCUUUUAUUAAAUUUAAAUUGACUUGUUUAGAGCAUCAGAUAAUACAUGUGAAUAAUCAUUUCACUUGACUUUUACAAUGAAUUCAUUUUAUAAAGGAGCAAACAACUUGCAACUUACUACAAUAUACCUUAAAUGGCUCUGUGGUAUAUAUCAAGGUAUUGUGCACAUGACAAAUUCAUAUGUUUCUAUAAAUUUAAGGGGGCUCAUGUAAUUUUGACCCUUAAAUGCUCAAAUAGCCCCUACAAUUUUUCACUGCUAUAUGAAUGUUGAAGCUUAUCCAUUGUUUUCACAUUUUAGGCAGUAAUUUGUGAAGAAUACAUGUAGCCCCCCCUCCCACAUAUAUAUAUAUAUAACUGCCUGCAUAUAAUGUAUUAUAUAGAGAGGAGUAUUACAUAUGUCUUCUUUGUAAUUUUAUUUUAUAUUAUUAUUUUGCUUGUGAGUAGGCCUUAUGUAACACUUUGAUUUAUUUCUGUAUCUAAUUAUUGUAUGUACAUAUGGUGAUAAAUUAUUUUCAUUUUCCUAUUAUUUUCAUAUAUAAUUUCUUAUUCUUGUGGUAUUCAUUUUGUUAUUUUAAUUGUGUGGUAUGUCAUGAGCUUACACUAUAAAGAUCUGUAAAGCAGAAUACUAGCAGGCUCAUAUGUGUUUGUUUUGCCCUUGCUAUCCCUUUCCAAAUAUCAUUGAGUUUGAGAGAUAAUUACAAAUUCAAACAUUUCACUCCCAAGAUUUGAGCAGUGCGCCCUACCACAUUUUUUAAAUGCCAUUUUGGAAUCCUUGGGGAAUUUCAUUCUGGAAAUAGUAUACUUUUGGUAUGGAUAGAUUAAAUAAUUUUACAAUUAAGACCAUUUUUAUAUCAUUAGAUACAAACACAAAUGAAGCUAAUUAAAAAAUGCAUAGGCGCAUAUGAGAUUUGAAAAAGUCUGGAUCGUUGUGGGAGCAAAAAAAGGUCUACAAAAAUGAAUGUAAAUGCUGAAUUUUAUCAUCUUUUAUUAAAUUUAAAUUGACUUGUUUAGAGCAUCAGAUAAUACAUGUGAAUAAUCAUUUCACUUGACUUUUACAAUGAAUUCAUUUUAUAAAGGAGCAAACAACUUGCAACUUACUACAAUAUACCUUAAAUGGCUCUGUGGUAUAUAUCAAGGUAUUGUGCACAUGACAAAUUCAUAUGUUUCUAUAAAUUUAAGGGGGCUCAUGUAAUUUUGACCCUUAAAUGCUCAAAUAGCCCCUACAAUUUUUCACUGCUAUAUGAAUGUUGAAGCUUAUCCAUUGUUUUCACAUUUUAGGCAGUAAUUUGUGAAGAAUACAUGUAGCUCCCCCUCCCACAUAUAUAUAUAUAUAACUGCCUGCAUAUAAUGUAUUAUAUAGAGAGGAGUAUUACAUAUGUCUUCUUUGUAAUUUUAUUUUAUAUUAUUAUUUUGCUUGUGAGUAGGCCUUAUGUAACACUUUGAUUUAUUUCUGUAUCUAAUUAUUGUAUGUACAUAUGGUGAUAAAUUAUUUUCAUUUUCCUAUUAUUUUCAUAUAUAAUUUCUUAUUCUUGUGGUAUUCAUUUUGUUAUUUUAAUUGUGUGGUAUGUCAUGAGCUUACACUAUAAAGAUCUGUAAAGCAGAAUACUAGCAGGCUCAUAUGUGUUUGUUUUGCCCUUGCUAUCCCUUUCCAAAUAUCAUUGAGUUUGAGAGAUAAUUACAAAUUCAAACAUUUCACUCCCAAGAUUUGAGCAGUGCGCCCUACCACAUUUUUUAAAUGCCAUUUUGGAAUCCUUGGGGAAUUUCAUUUUGGAAAUAGUAUACUUUUGGUAUGGAUAGAUUAAAUAAUUUUACAAUUAAGACCAUUUUUAUAUCAUUAGAUACAAACACAAAUGAAGCUAAUUAAAAAAUGCAUGGGCGCAUAUGAGAUUUGAAAAAGUCUGGAUCGUUGUGGGAGCAAAAAAAGGUCUACAAAAAUGAAUGUAAAUGCUGAAUUUUAUCAUCUUUUAUUAAAUUUAAAUUGACUUGUUUAGAGCAUCAGAUAAUACAUGUGAAUAAUCAUUUCACUUGACUUUUACAAUGAAUUCAUUUUAUAAAGGAGCAAACAACUUGCAACUUACUACAAUAUACCUUAAAUGGCUCUGUGGUAUAUAUCAAGGUAUUGUGCACAUGACAAAUUCAUAUGUUUCUAUAAAUUUAAGGGGGCUCAUGUAAUUUUGACCCUUAAAUGCUCAAAUAGCCCCUACAAUUUUUCACUGCUAUAUGAAUGUUGAAGCUUAUCCAUUGUUUUCACAUUUUAGGCAGUAAUUUGUGAAGAAUACAUGUAGCCCCCCCUCCCACAUAUAUAUAUAUAUAACUGCCUGCAUAUAAUGUAUUAUAUAGAGAGGAGUAUUACAUAUGUCUUCUUUGUAAUUUUAUUUUAUAUUAUUAUUUUGCUUGUGAGUAGGCCUUAUGUAACACUUUGAUUUAUUUCUGUAUCUAAUUAUUGUAUGUACAUAUGGUGAUAAAUUAUUUUCAUUUUCCUAUUAUUUUCAUAUAUAAUUUCUUAUUCUUGUGGUAUUCAUUUUGUCAUUUUAAUUGUGUGGUAUGUCAUGAGCUUACACUAUAAAGAUCUGUAAAGCAGAAUACUAGCAGGCUCAUAUGUGUUUGUUUUGCCCUUACUACCCCUUUCCAAAUUCGUAUGUUGAAGCUUAUCCAUUGUUUUCACAUUUUAGGCAGUAAUUUGUGAAGAAUACAUGUAGCCCCCCCCCCCCCACAUAUAUGUAUAUAUAUAACUGCCUGCAUAUAAUGUAUUAUAUAGAGAGGAGUAUUACAUAUGUCUUCUUUGUAAUUUUAUUUUAUAUUAUUAUUUUGCUUGUGAGUAGGCCUCAUGUAAGACUUUGAUUUAUUUCUGUAUCUAAUAAUUGUAUGUACAUAUGGUGAUAAAUUAUUUUCAUUUUCCUAUUAUUUUGAUUGUAUUAUUUUCAUAUAUAAUUUCUUAUUCUUGUGGUAUUCUUUUUGUUAUUUUAAUUGUGUGGUAUGUCAUGAGCUUACACUAUAAAGAUCUGUAAAGCAGAAUACUAGCAGGCUCAUAUGUGUUUGUUUUGCCCUUGCUAUCCCUUUCCAAAUAUCAUUUGAGUUUGAGAGAUAAUUACAAAUUCAAACAUUUCACUCCCAAGAUUUGAGCAGUGCGCCCUACCACAUUUUUUUAAUGCCAUUUUGGAAUCCUUGGGGAAUUUCAUUCUGGAAAUAGUAUACUUUUGGUAUGGAUAGAUUAAAUAAUUUUACAAUUAAGACCAUUUUUAUAUCAUUAGAUACAAACACAAAUGAAGCUAAUUAAAAAAUGCAUGGGCGCAUAUGAGAUUUGAAAAAGUCUGGAUCGUUGUGGGAGCAAAAAAAGGUCUACAAAAUGAAUGUAAAUGCUGAAUUUUAUCAUCUUCUAUUAAAGAUAAAUUGACUUGUUUAGAGCAUCAGAUAAUACCUGUGAAUAAUCAUUUCACUUGACUUUUACAAUGAAUUCAUUUUCUAAAGGAGCGAACAAGUUGCAACUUACUACAAUAUAUUGUGAAUAAUCAUUUCACAAGACUUUUACAAUGAAUUCAUUUUCUUUGGGAACGAACAAGUUGCAACUUUCUACAAUAUAAUUAUCUUAAUAUGCUCUUUGGUAAAUGAAUGUUUCAACGAGAUAUUUUGCACAAGUGUAUGCAAUUUUAUUUUCUUUAACCAUAAUAAGGUUUCACUGUUAAAUAACUUUCUCUUUGAAUUUUUGCGAAACAUUAGAGACCAAAUUUGCAGUACUGAAAUUACACAACGUUUCGUAAAUGCUUGUCGACCAAAAAUGCCCAAAAACGUGAAAUUUGUACAAAUUUCAUCCAAUUCUGUUUUUUGCCAAAAUUAUUGUUAAUUUUACUUAUCUUGAUUAUGGUCAGAAUAAAGUUUGUUUAAAAACAAAAUAAACAUAAGAAAAAAUGUGAUAUUAAUUUUUUUCAAAGUACGAUUGAUCAUAAUCUUACAAAUAGUAUGUGAAUACAGAAUUAAAAGUUUGGGGGCCAUAUUCAGUUAAUGAGCGCAAACCUUUGAUUAUAUGCAUUAGCAUAAUUAAUAUUGUGACUUUUCGAAUUACUUGAUCCUAUCGUUUUGUAGAUAUUUGCCAUGAGUAAUGCGCAUGCAGAUUUUCGUCGCGGUCGACGGCCGUGAUCUUAGGGGGGGGGGGGCAAAAUCAGCCCCUCACCAGUCUCCUUCGGCAUCAAAAUAGCCCAGUCUAUUUACACAGUGAAAACGCUGUUUAAGAUUUUAUACAACGCUGUUUA
Molecule: long non-coding RNA, 18325 nt
Organism: Lytechinus pictus (painted urchin)
Lineage: Eukaryota; Metazoa; Echinodermata; Echinoidea; Temnopleuroida; Toxopneustidae
Exons: 3
Source: RefSeq, a predicted model, not a curated record